Molecule: ribosomal RNA, 1107 nt
Filed under: uncultured organism
Description: bacterial SSU rRNA
Rfam family: Bacterial small subunit ribosomal RNA
Source: RNAcentral
GAAACGGAAAUUAAUACUCCAUACAAUUACGAAGUGGCAUCACUUUCAGAUUAAAGCUACGGCGGUAAAAGAUGGGCAUGCGUAACAUUAGCUAGUUGGUGAGGUAAAGGCUCACCAAGGCGACGAUGUUUAGGGGUCCUGAGAGGGUUAUCCCCCACACUGGUACUGAGACACGGACCAGACUCCUAGCGGGAGGCAGCAGUGAGGAAUAUUGGUCAAUGGGCGCAAGCCUGAACCAGCCAUCCCGCGUGCAGGAAGACGGCCCUAUGGGUUGUAAACUGCUUUUCUGAGGGAAGAAUAACGCUGAUUCGUUCAGUGGACGACGGUACCUCAGGAAUAAGCAUCGGCUAACUCCGUGCCAGCAGCCGCGGUAAUACGGAGGAUGCAAGCGUUAUCCGGAUUCAUUGGGUUUAAAGGGUGCGUAGGCGGACUGGUAAGUCAGUGGUGAAAUCCUGCAGCUUAACUGUGGAAUUGCCAUUGAAACUGUCAGUCUUGAGUCAGGUUGAGGUAGGCGGAAUGUGUAAUGUAGCGGUGAAAUGCAUAGAUAUUACACAGAACACCGACUGCGUAGGCAGCUUACUGGACCUGCACUGACGCUGAGGCACGAAAGCGUGGGGAUCAAACAGGAUUAGAUACCCUGGUAGUCCACGCCGUAAACUAUGAUUACUCGUUGUUGGCAAUACAUCGUCAGCGACCAAGCGAAAGCGAUAAGUAAUCCACCUGGGGAGUACGCUCGCAAGAGUGAAACUCAAAGGAAUUGACGGGGGCCCGCACAAGCGGUGGAACAUGUGGUUUAAUUCGAUGAUACGCAAGGAACCUUACCUGGGCUUAAAUGUAGACUGCAUAGCGUGGAAACAUGCUUUUCUUUUAGACUGUUUACAAGGUGCUGCAUGGUUGUCGUCAGCUCGUGCCGUGAGGUGUCGGGUUAAGUCCCAUAACGAGCGCAACCCUUAUCGUUAGUUGCCAUCGGGUAAAGCCGGGGACUCUAGCGCCACUGCCACCGUAAGGUGAGAGGAAGGUGGGGAUGACGUCAAAUCAGCACGGCCCUUAUGUCCAGGGCUACACACGUGUUACAAUGGUUAGAACGAAGGGCAGCUACCUGGUGAC